RNAcentral lists this long non-coding RNA (884 nucleotides) under Equus caballus (horse). Its description in RNAcentral is "lncRNA (ENSECAG00000050324.1)". Lineage: Eukaryota; Metazoa; Chordata; Mammalia; Perissodactyla; Equidae. The record is from RNAcentral.
AUGAAGGAGAAAUAGCACAUUCCUGAAUAAACAAACAGAGAGAGAAUUUGUUGCUGGAAGAGCUGCCGUAUAAAAAACACUAAAGGGAGUCCUUCAGGCUGAAAUAAAAAGACAUUAGACAGUAACUUGAAUCCACAUGAAGACAUAAAGUGCGCUGGUAAAGGUAACUGCAUAGGAUGAAGUUUACAACCUGCACAGAUGGACUGGAGCAGACCACAUAGCUGGAAUUUAGCACCCAGGGACUGGGAUAACCUCACUAGCUCUGUGUCCUUGAACAUGCCCCCACAAAGACCUCUGUAGAGACAAGACCAUAUUAGAUCAUACUUGAAUGAUAAGCAAAUAUUAAUGCCAAGGACUCACUAAGAAUAAAAUCAGACAGACACGUGAAUUUGCUGGAGAGAAUUAUAAAAUCAGAGGCUGAAGGAGAUUGGCGAUGAGGACCUCACAAUUCAAAGUUCAUUCAAGACAUCUUUGAUACAUUCCCAAACACAAGGUCAUCUGGAUGCCUGCAUCUUGGGGCUCACUAAAGAGCAUGUUAAUCUCCUGGAAGUGCUUGUUGGAAAUGUAGAUGCCUGCUGACCCUGAGAAGCUCCUGGAGACGAUGCUGCUGCAGGUGGGCUGAGCCCAUUGUCUGCGUGUUACUGCCAUCACGGCGUCACACUGGUUGACAAGUGCAGGUCUUGUGCCACUCAGAAAGAAAGUCGUGUUUUCUCUCCCACUGAUCUCUCACCAAGAACUAUGAGUAAAGACUAAAUAAAAGGAACAGGUCUAAAGAAAAACAACACAGAAUAGACAAACCCCCAGUUUUAUAUGGAUGUACUUCUGAAAGGUUGUAUAUAAAUCAGAUUUCUGUGAGUUAAUCUUUACUUUCCCUUCACUUAAAU